Molecule: long non-coding RNA, 540 nt
Filed under: Equus caballus (horse)
Lineage: Eukaryota; Metazoa; Chordata; Mammalia; Perissodactyla; Equidae
Description: lncRNA (ENSECAG00000051361.1)
Source: RNAcentral
GUGAGAGAGUUUCCAGAAGAGAUUAGCAUUUGAAUCAGCAGACUGAGUAAAGAUCACCCUCACCCAUGCAGGUGGCCAUCAUUCUUUGAGGGCCUGAACAGAAGAAAAAGGCAGAGGAAGGAAGAAGUUGCUUUCUCUGUUUAAGCUGGGAUGGGCAUCUUCUCCUGUCGUCAGAGGAUGCAGCUUGCCUUGUUCCAUACUUGUACUGGCCAAAUUCAAGGAUGGCGAAAAGACUUAGAAGUGACAAAUACAUUUGCACAUUCAACUAACAGAACAGAAGGAGGCUAGAAAAAUCAGGUUGUAGAAAGGGAAAGAUUCAUCCUGAGCUAACGUCUAUGGCCAAUCUUCCUCAUUUUUUUUUUUCCUCCAAGAAGCCCCAGUGCAUAGUUGUACAACCUAGUUGUAAGUCAUUCUAGUUCUUCUAUCUGAGCCACCACCACAGCAUGACAACUGGCAGAUGGGUGGUGUGGCUCCAUGACCAGGAAGCGAACCCAGGCUGCCGAAGUGGUGAGCACCAAUCUUUAACCACUAGGCCAUCAG